This 490-nucleotide ribosomal RNA is filed under the name uncultured bacterium. RNAcentral describes it as "bacterial SSU rRNA". It matches the Rfam family "Bacterial small subunit ribosomal RNA", at positions 29 to 507 of the family's 1533-position model. The record is from RNAcentral.
AUGAACGCUAGCUACAGGCUUAACACAUGCAAGUCGAGGGGCAGCGGGAUUGAAGCUUGCUUCAAUUGCCGGCGACCGGCGCACGGGUGAGUAACGCGUAUCCAACCUUCCGUACACUCAGGGAUAGCCUUUCGAAAGAAAGAUUAAUACCUGAUGGUAUGAUGAGAUCGCAUGGUAUCAUCAUUAAAGAUUUAUCGGUGAUGGAUGGGGAUGCGUCUGAUUAGCUUGUUGGCGGGGUAACGGCCCACCAAGGCGACGAUCAGUAGGGGGUUCUGAGAGGAAGGUCCCCCACAUUGGAACUGAGACACGGUCCAAACUCCUACGGGAGGCAGCAGUGAGGAAUAUUGGUCAAUGGGCGAGAGCCUGAACCAGCCAAGUAGCGUGCAGGAUGACGGCCCUAUGGGUUGUAAACUGCUUUUAUAAGGGAAUAAAGUGGGAGUCGUGACUCUUUUUGCAUGUACCUUAUGAAUAAGGACCGGCUAAUUCCGUG